This 1896-nucleotide long non-coding RNA is filed under the name Pan troglodytes (chimpanzee). RNAcentral's name for it is "long non-coding RNA NONPTRT018550". The record is from RNAcentral. Lineage: Eukaryota; Metazoa; Chordata; Mammalia; Primates; Hominidae.
UACUUCUCCCUGGAGAAGCUCGAGGAAGCAGAAAUGCUGGAGAUGAGACCCAGCACACCCUGCCUGCAUGGCGCUGUGCUGCACCUUCACUCUGGUCACGGGUCUGGCAGUCGGCUCACCAAUUCCUCCCGCUUCCCUGGGACUCGCCGGCUUUUAGCACUGCAAUUCACUCAGCAAACUGGGACUGUUGGUCACCCUACCUGGCAGCCAGUGAUAAGGUGAGGGCCACUCCUGGGAGGGAGGACACCUGUGGGGAAAAUUCUUGUGUUAUUUAUUUCUCCUUCAGGAUAGGGUGCCUGCAGCGCUUCAUGGGAGGGGGUGGGCUGAUGCUGCGGACUCAGAAGUUUCAAGGGCAUCUGGGGAGACCAGAUAUUCAGAGACCUUCUCCUAGAUGUGCCUGUUCCAUGUAUCAGGGACGCAGGUUUUCCCAACAGGGCUGGUGUCGUUGGCAUGACAGACCUGCCUUGGCUGAGCGUUCACCCGUCUUUGGAGUUCAGCCACCUUAGCAAGUCCUGGGUUUGUUCUUCAGACUUUGCUGCUCGCCCAUUGCCUGGAUCGGGGGCUACUUUGUAAACCACCAGGAAGACUCCAGUGUUUCUGCUUAAUUUUUAGAUGUUUGUUAAUUGCUCUUGGUCUCUCAUUAAUCCCCUGUGGGUCAUCCAGGAAACAUACUCACCACUGUCUGUUCUCUGAGUUUUCAUUUCCAGGCAUCCGCCCUGCCUGGAUCUCCUCACCUGCCAGGAACUUCCUCUCCACAAGCCGGCCAUCCCAGCAAAAGUUCUAACACCAAAGGUCUGGCAACUAGCCUGCCAUCUUGUGCCUGGAGCCGCCUGCGUGCCACCUACUCCCGAAGAUGGGAACCUUGUUGCCAGUUGGGCAGAUGCGGGGCAAUCCUGUACCAAGACCCCAUUUUACCACCUGCUUUCUCAGACCACUCUGGAACCCACUGUCUCAGAUUGUGUCCUCCAGGAAGCAGACCAUGAGAGGGAGUUGGCAGGGCCAAAGAUUUACUGGGGCUAACUAACACUCAGGAAAGGGAUAGGAAGGAAACAGGGCUGGAGAGCAGGUUGAGCCCGACCUGACAGUCUCGAGCAGCCCAACAGGGAGGUGUGGAGCAAGGGUUGCCCACUAGAGGGGCCUGCAUUGGGUACGGGUGAUGGGGUCCACAUGGUACCUGGCAUAUAGCAGGCUGUGCAAUCCAUAUUAACUGACUGGAUAAAUUAAUGCCCAGAAAAGGUGCCCUGGAGAAUGGGUGUGUGCUGAACACAAUAGGGAAGGGCCCAGCAUCUGCCUUGGCAUAGGCAGAACUGUGCUGUGCCCUGCAACAGGCCACCUGAGAGCUGCUUUGAUCUUGUGUGUGCAUUAGACGACUGCCAGGGGCAUGAAGGGGAUGUGCUUCCAGGGCAUUUGCUGGCAGGGCGUCUCGUGAUCUCUUGGUAUUGGUGUGAGCACAGCCUGGCAGGAGAGGGCAGAUCUCCGUGCAAAGUACGUCAGAAAGCAGAUGGAAGCCAGGCCCCCUCCUGAAAGAGGCUCCUUGAAGGUAGGUGUACACUCAUGUCUUUGUUACUUGUAAGGGGGCAUCUUACAGGCAAGAGGAGUUAGGUGAAUGUGAAGAGGAAGGAACUGCUCACUCUGGGCAGGGGGCUGGGGGAGGCUUCGUAGAGGAGGGGGUGUUUGAGCUGGGCCUUGAAGGUCAAAAGGGUUUUGUUAGGUGGGAAAUGGGGGAAGGACAGUCUGAAACGGUUAGGUACAUUCAAGGAGCCCAGAGAAGGUUCGUGGCUGGAGCAGACGCAUUCGUAGAGUGAAGUCAUGGGAGAAGAGGCUGGGAAACUAGAUUGGGUCCAACUCCUAAAGGACCACUGAAGGAGUGUGGGCUGCACGCUGGGUGCAGCAGGU